UCUCUGUAUAUUUGUAUUUAAACAUAUGGGUAGGAGGUGCCAUAUUGAUUCCAAUAGACAGUAUGAGGGUAUAGCACCAUCUGGGCUUGACCGGAGGCAAAGUGUUCGGCGAGGGUAUUGCUGCGGACACCACUGGAGGAUUUGGGUAAACUAUAUCAAGUAUGAGAGAGAGCGUGUGUGCUCAGUCUAAUCAGGCACUCACAUCCUUUGUGUCACAUGAGUUAAUGUUCUGGUACUAUUUGCUAACAGGAUCGCUAUUCCCUUAAAAAAGAUUGUUUACCAUGGUAUGUGUCUAAAAGAAUAUAAAGUGUUAUUGUAUAUUUUCCCUAGCAGUUUUCCCUAACUUCUAUGAAUGUUGUCAUAAUGAAACAUGGACCCCAAACUGGCCACACCUCAUCCCAUCCAAAGCCUGUCCCCUAUCCACCUAAGCCCCAUCUAUUACAUGACAGUCCAGGACCUUUUUAGUGACCUGGUCCCUGGCCAGUCUUCGUCCCUCACAAUGGGCCCUGUGCUAAGCACAAUUCAGAAGGAACGGCCCCCUAAAUUUACUGAAAACCUAUACAGAGAGGUCCCAUAAAACUAUGGCAGCAUAGGUAGUCCCCUGUACUAAGCACAAUUCAGCAGGAACAGCCUCUAAGUUUGCCCAAAGCCUGUACAGAGAGGUUCCAUAAAACUAUGGCAGAAUAGGUAUUCCCCUGUACUAAGCACAAAUCAGCAAGGGCAGCCCCCUACGUUUGCUUCCAUAAAACUAUGACAGCAUAGGUAUUCCUUUGUACUAAGCACAAUUUAGCAGGAACAGCCCCCUAAGUUUGCGCAUAGCCUGUAUAAGGAGAUAUCGUAGAACUGUGUCAGCAAUGUUACUAAGCACCAUUCUACUGGAACCUCUAGUUAUACAGCCAUCCACAACUCUGUACAUAACACUGUUAGUAGUUAUUAUUUAUAUCAUGGCCCUACCUUACCCACCCUCCUGGUUCUAUCUAACAUAUGCCUUCUCGCAGAUUUGGAGCAAGCAGCGGCACUGCUACUUUCGGGAGCUUAGCCAACGAAAACACGCCAACCUAUGGCUCUAUUUCCCAGCAGGCCCCUGGGUUUGGGUUAGGUACAGAUGCAGCCACAGGAAACACUGGAGCUGCCCGGAGCACACUGAACAUGUGCAGUGCCACAGACACACAGAAGAUGGCCUAACAAGGUCCAAGAUGGGGAGCUGGUGGGAACAACUUUGAAGACCAUGGAUCAUUUCUAAAGUGCUGCUGUACUUCUGCGCUGGUGUGAAGCAGCGAGCCAACGGGGCCCUGGCUUUUGCCCUUGAGCAGUCAUGUUCUGUAAUCUCACGGGUAAUAUCCUCCUUUAUAUUCUGAGUACUCUCAGGUAACUUUAUUUCCUUUAUAUUCUAAGUUUUCAUAGGCAAGAUCAUUCAUUUAUAUUCUAAGUACUCACAGGCAAUGUCUUUCCUUUAUAGUCUAAGUACUCACAUGCAAAGUCUUUCCUUUAUAUUCUAAGUACUCACUAGCAAGAUCAUUCCUUUAUAUUCUAAGUACUGACAAGCAGUGUCUUUCCUUUAUAUUCUAAGUACUCACAGGCAAUGUAUUUCCUUUAUAUUCUAGGUAUUCACCGGCAAUGUCUUUCCUUUAUAUUCUAAGUACUCACAGGCAAUGUAUUUCCUUUAUAUUCUAGAUAUUCACCGGCAAUGUCUUUCCUUUAUAUUCUAAGUACUCACAGGCAAUGUAUUUCCUUUAUAUUCUAGGUAUUCACCGGCAAUGUCUUUCCUUUAUUAUAUUCUAAGUACUCACAGGCAAUGUCUUUCCUUUAUAUUCUAAGUACUCACAGGCAAUGUCUUUCCUUUAUAUUCUAAGUACUCACAGGCAAUGUCUUUCCUUUAUUUUCUAAGUACUCACAGGCAAGAUCACUGCUUCAUAUUCUAAGUACUCACAGGCAAUGUCUUUCCUUUAUAUUAUAAGUACUCACUGGCAAUAUCCAUCCUUAAAUUCUAACAGACAAGUCUCCCUCCCUCCCCCUUUAAAGUCUAAGUACAGACAAGGUCCUUUCUUGAAAUUUUAUCUAAGUACUCACAGGUAAUACCCAUCCUAAGUGCUCACAGGAAAGGCACAUCUUUUAUUUUCUAAGACGAGGCCAUUCCUUUAUACUGUUAUAUAAUCAUAAGCAAUGCCCUUCUUCUAUAUUCCAAGUACCCAAAAGCAAGGUCCUGCCCUUAUAUUCUAAGGGCUUAUGGGAAAGGCCCAUGUUUUAUAUUUUAAGUACUUAGAGGCAAGGCCCUUCUUUUAAGACCAUUCCCUAUAUUCUCACAGGUAAUAUCCUUCCUUUGUAUUCUAAGUACUUAAAGAUAAGACCAUUCCUUUAUAAUCACCAGCAAGAGCCUUUCUUCUCCACUUUGUGCGGAUGAAUGCCCUUCAUCCCAUUUUGUCUUGCCCACUAUAAACAUUUCCCAGCUAUAUAAGGAGAUGUAAGCUAAAUGUGACCUGCAGGCUAACAAACACAAACUAGUAGCCUGUGGCAACCAAUCAUCUGGUCUAGAAACACAAGACCUGGUUAGUUGCUAUGGGUUACUAGACCUGGUGCAAACUUUGUAAAUUUUAUGACAAUUUUAUGACCCUAAUAGUCAAUUUUGUUUUGUUGUAUUAUUUGGUGUUUCAGACUUAAAAGGCUUCCAUAUUCUCAUUUCCCAUCCAAUUCCAUCCGUUCCCUGUAAAAAACAAGUCCAUAUCUCUAUCAGACUUACAGAGACAUAAUGAAACCUGUUAUGUCUCAUGCUCAUUCAAUCUCAGUUCUGAGAUGACUAUUUAGACGGAGGUGAUAAAAAGAAGAAAGCAGAAAUUUUCUGUAAAUGAUCAAGAACAAGACCUUUUUUAAAAUUAGAACGUUUUUGCUCACUCACAAUUUGUAUACGAAACUCAGCAUGUCCACACACAUACAAAAUAAAAAUCAAGUAGCUUGCAGUGAUUUGAAGCUUAGAACAGUGGAUAGACAUAUACAAAGAACAGCUUUUCCACAACUGUUCAAACACACAGGAGUUAUGGGUGGACAACUAGGGUCAGACUGGACUGCUGGAGCACCAGAGAAUCCCCCAAUGGGACCCAGAUUUCAUUAUAACUUUGAUCAGCCCUUUCUUAUUUUCCACAAAGUCCUAUAGCACACCAAUAUGAUUUAGCCCUAUAUAUACAACAUAUAUUGUUUUUUAAGAGUGGACCCUUGGUAUUAUUAGGUUCUCAGGUUGCCUUUAGGAGGCCCAGUCUGACCCUGAGCACAACCAUAACCUCAACUCCUAACCAAGAUCAAGAAAAAGUUAUCAGACAUAGAACAUUUGAAACCUCUUAAUCAAUGUGAUCACGAGUAUGUCGACUUGCUACCAAACACUAAAUAUAGGACACAAGGCAGGCUGGUCACACUGCAUUCCAUCAGAGGCAAGACAGUGUGGAUAUGGCCGAUUACUUGCAGAUUUAACCUCUAUUAUAUGAGCUAUUCUUUUUGUUCCAUCCUGUGCAAAUGACAAUUACCCUUUUCUACUGCCUUUUCCAAAUGACUUCAUGUGCCCCUAAAAAUGCUCCAGGUCUAUUAGAUUGUGCUUCCACCUAUGCAAAGGCUCUAAAUAUGGGGUAAAAGGGGGUUAGGUCACCUAAUCUGUCUCUAUCAUCCAGCUUACCCUCAGUCUUUCAUUUCGUAACGUAUUGUGGUUAUAAAAAAAAUAACAAAAAAACAUUGGCCAGCAAUGUUUUUAUUCAACCCUUAGUAGCCGAGCAAUUGGCUACCUUUCCCUGAGUUUGAUUGCUACUGAAAUUUGAGUACAACACACCUUCCAAACAAAAAAUACCUCAUGUGUCAUAGGAACCAACUGACACUUUAUCCAACAUCAUCUCCCAUUAGAAAAAAAAACAGCACCCACCCCCAAAAAAAGCUCCAAAUAUUAUGUCGCUGGGUAGGAAACCCAAAUAUUAAAUGUUGCAUAAUGAAAGCAAAUAUAGUUAUAAGCAACGGCCCGAUAUAAAUUAAUUACACUUUUCAGUCUUUUAGGGUCCUCAAGGGUAGUUAUGCCACUGCCCAUAGUGGCUUGCAUGUUCUCUUGGCAUGAGGAGUGCCAGCUACUGCUACAUCAUUCGAAUGUUCAGGACCAGUAGUGCAAAUAAGGACAGACAAAUACUGCUUUACUGACAACUUUAAAAUCUUCCAAAGAUCUUGACAAGGGUAAAAGGGAACACUGAGUAGAAUUAUAUUUGCUUUCAUUAAAUGUUAUAUUUGGGUUUUCUUCCCCUUUAAAAUGAUAAACCUAUAAGGAAGAUUUUGGCAAUGUUGCAAAAUGCAAAAAUAAAUUUGAUUAAAAAAAAUCAUAAAUAACUUCCAGAUGUCCAGUUUGUAGAUUUCUUCUAAUCAGUUUAGACUUUGUAACGCAACCCGUUCUAUAGGGUUUAAAGGCCAUAAAUUUGAAAAAAUUAGGUCUCUCUCAUGCGACCAAGACUCUAGACUUCAGUAGGUAGGAUUUCCUCCUAUAUCCUGGUCACCCUAAGAAGUCCUUGCAGAUGGCCUACAAGAGUCUACAAAGCUUAUUUGUUGGACCUUAUCCUUGAGGGUCGCAACUCUUCUUCCUGUUCUGGAUCCCACUUAGUGGACAAGGCAGCUCACCCUCACAAAUAUAAAAUAACACAGUGAUAACCGAGCUUACAAUAAAGCAAAAAUUAUAUGA
Molecule: long non-coding RNA, 4693 nt
Organism: Xenopus laevis (African clawed frog)
Lineage: Eukaryota; Metazoa; Chordata; Amphibia; Anura; Pipidae
Exons: 3
Source: RefSeq, a predicted model, not a curated record